RNAcentral lists this ribosomal RNA (524 nucleotides) under uncultured Chaetomium. RNAcentral's name for it is "eukaryotic LSU rRNA". The stretch from base 176 to 329 matches the Rfam family "5.8S ribosomal RNA". Lineage: Eukaryota; Fungi; Ascomycota; Sordariomycetes; Sordariales; Chaetomiaceae. The record is from RNAcentral.
AGGGAUCAUUACAGAGUUGCAAAACUCCCCAAACCAUUGUGAACCUUACCUUCUACCGUUGCUUCGGCGGGCGGGCCACAGCGCCCCCCCGGGCCCCCUCGGGGGCGCCCGCCGGAGGAUAACCAAACUCUUGAUAUUCAUGGCCUCUCUGAGUCUUCUGUACUGAAUAAGUCAAAACUUUCAACAACGGAUCUCUUGGUUCUGGCAUCGAUGAAGAACGCAGCGAAAUGCGAUAAGUAAUGUGAAUUGCAGAAUUCAGUGAAUCAUCGAAUCUUUGAACGCACAUUGCGCCCGCCAGUAUUCUGGCGGGCAUGCCUGUUCGAGCGUCAUUUCAACCAUCAAGCCCCCGGCUUGUGUUGGGGACCUGCGGCUGCCCGCAGGCCCUGAAAACCAGUGGCGGGCUCGCUGUCACACCGAGCGUAGUAGCAACACCUCGCUCAGGGCGUGCUGCGGGUUCCGGCCGUUAAAAGCCUUUCACACCCAAGGUUGACCUCGGAUCAGGUAGGAAGACCCGCUGAACUUAA